Molecule: ribosomal RNA, 253 nt
Filed under: uncultured bacterium
Lineage: Bacteria
Description: partial 16S ribosomal RNA
Rfam family: Bacterial small subunit ribosomal RNA
Source: RNAcentral
UACGUAGGGGGCUAGCGUUGUCCGGAAUCAUUGGGCGUAAAGCGCGUGUAGGCGGUUUGGUAAGUCCGCUGUGAAAGUCGGGGGCUCAACCCUCGAAUGCCUGUGGAUACUGUCGAACUAGAGUGCGGAAGAGGCGAGUGGAAUUCCUGGUGUAGCGGUGAAAUGCGCAGAUAUCAGGAGGAACACCAAUUGCGAAGGCAGCUCGCUGGGACGUAACUGACGCUGAGACGCGAAAGCGUGGGGAGCAAACAGG